CCUACGGGUGGCAGCAGUGAGGAAUAUUGGUCAAUGGACGAGAGUCUGAACCAGCCAAGUAGCGUGAAGGAUGACUGCCCUAUGGGUUGUAAACUUCUUUUAUAUGGGAAUAAAAUGUUCCACGUGUGGGAUUUUGUAUGUACCAUAUGAAUAAGGAUCGGCUAACUCCGUGCCAGCAGCCGCGGUAAUACGGAGGAUGCGAGCGUUAUCCGGAUUUAUUGGGUUUAAAGGGUGCGCAGGCGGAUUUUUAAGUCAGCGGUCAAAUCGUGGGGCUCAACCCCAUCCAGCCGUUGAAACUGGGGAUCUAGAGUGUGCGAGAGGUAUGCGGAAUGCGUGGUGUAGCGGUGAAAUGCAUAGAUAUCACGAAGAACUCCGAUUGCGAAGGCAGCUCACUGGACUGCAACUGACACUGAGGCUCGAAAGUGUGGGUAUCAAACAGGAUUAGAUACCCUGGUAGUC
RNAcentral lists this ribosomal RNA (459 nucleotides) under uncultured bacterium. RNAcentral describes it as "partial 16S ribosomal RNA". It matches the Rfam family "Bacterial small subunit ribosomal RNA", at positions 338 to 795 of the family's 1533-position model. The record is from RNAcentral.